RNAcentral lists this long non-coding RNA (343 nucleotides) under Nicotiana benthamiana. RNAcentral describes it as "long non-coding RNA (NBEN_LNC007648)". Lineage: Eukaryota; Viridiplantae; Streptophyta; Magnoliopsida; Solanales; Solanaceae. The record is from RNAcentral.
GAGGUCUAGAAUCAGAAUUAUAGGCUAGGGGCUCAUAGAGUUCUUCGUACGCCUUUCCCGGGGUUGGGUGUGGGAUAGUAGGGUUACCCAUAGGUGAUUAGUGUUUUAGCUUAUGUCCCCAGAGGGUUGUUAGUAUGGUAGUUAAUGGAUGUGGAAAGUGAUCGUAGCUUAAUUGUCAGCUACUGACAGGUACUGUGAAUGUCACUGACUGCUUUUGUUAUCAAUCAAAUGCAUUACUCUUCUUGUUUGGACCCAAUUAACCCCUUUGUCAUUUUCUUUAUUAACAUAACCUUAAACUAAAUUGUUAGCUCAUAUAAUAAAACCAUCACAAAAUCGUAAUGAA